This 305-nucleotide ribosomal RNA is filed under the name uncultured bacterium. RNAcentral describes it as "bacterial SSU rRNA". It matches the Rfam family "Bacterial small subunit ribosomal RNA", at positions 333 to 654 of the family's 1533-position model. The record is from RNAcentral.
UGUCGCCUACGGGAGGCAGCAGUGGGGAAUAUUGCACAAUGGGGGAAACCCUGAUGCAGCGACGCCGCGUGAGUGAAGAAGUAUUUCGGUAUGUAAAGCUCUAUCAGCAGGGAAGAAGCAAGACGGUACCUGACUAAGAAGCCCCGGCUAACUACGUGCCAGCAGCCGCGGUAAUACGUAGGGGGCAAGCGUUAUCCGGAUUUACUGGGUGUAAAGGGAGCGUAGACGGUAUGGCAAGUCUGAUGUGAAAGCCUUCGGCUUAACCGGAGUAGUGCAUUGGAAACUGGGAGACUUGAGUGCAGAAG